RNAcentral lists this ribosomal RNA (468 nucleotides) under uncultured bacterium. RNAcentral's name for it is "partial 16S ribosomal RNA". It matches the Rfam family "Bacterial small subunit ribosomal RNA", at positions 28 to 507 of the family's 1533-position model. The record is from RNAcentral.
GAUGAACGCUGGCUGCGUGCUUAACACAUGCAAGUCGAUCGGGAAGGCCUUGCUUUUCUGGGGUGCUCGAGUGGCUCACGUGUGAGUAACACGUGAGUAUCCUGCCCUUGCCCUUGGUAUAACUUCAGGAAACUUGGCCUAAUACCGGAUAGUAGCUCCUUCUGCAUGGUUGGGGUUGAAAAGUUUCGGCGGUUGCGGAUGGACUCGCGGGUUAUCAGAUUGUUGGUGGGGUAGUGGCUUACCAAGGCUUUGACGGGUAGCCGGCCUGAGAGGGUGACCGGGCACACUGGGAGAGAGAGACGGGCCAGACACGUAAGGGAGAGGGAAGAGGGGAAUAUUGUACAAAAGGCGGAAGACUCAGGCAGAAACACUGCGUGAGGGAUGAGAGCCUUCGGGGAGUAAACCGCUUUCGCAGGUGAGGAGGAGUGAGUGACGGUACCGGGUAAAGAAGCAACGGCUAAAUACGUG